Long non-coding RNA from Saccoglossus kowalevskii, 613 nucleotides. NCBI's taxonomy places the organism in Eukaryota, Metazoa, Hemichordata, Enteropneusta, Harrimaniidae. The record is from RefSeq and is a predicted model, not a curated record.
GAGCCCAGGGAAGAUAGUAGUUUUGAACAUGUCAAGACGAGAACCGUGUCUAUUAACAUUACUGUUGGAAAUGAAUAUGCUAUCGUCAAUGGACUUGAUGUUGUUACAGGAAAAACCGAAGGACAUGGAACCGCAGCACAAGCAAUCAAUGUUCAGCAUGAAGAUAAAAAGAUCAAGCUGAGUUUUAUCUCCAAGGAUACCAAGUUUACUGUGAAUUGGACAGUCAAGAAGCACAUCUUGAAUGUUUCCUUUUCUGGGAAUGCCUACAACAAUAAACUUUGUGGGCUGCUGGGAAAUGCUGAUGGUGAUACUCGUAAUGACUUCCAAACACCAGAUGGCGCUGUUAUACGCGAUGCUGUUGAGUUUGGGGAAAGCUGGAAAGUGAAGGGAAAGGAAUGUGACUAAGGCAAUAGAAAUUGUUCUGCGAUUUUGAAAAGUUCAACUGGUAGCAUGUAAUUACUCACUGUAAUGGACAUGGAUACAAGGAAGCAGAUUUGGGUGGUGGUUAUUAUUAGAAGUAGAACACAUCAGUCUAUGGGGAGUAAUGUCAGCAAAUUGCGCUGCGUGCAAUUCAGAAAACAUUUUAGCACAAUAAAUAAAAGAAUACCUCAUU